GCCGUUUUGGCUCAGUGGAUAGAGCAUCAGCCUGUGGAUUGAAAGGUCACAGGUUCAAUUCCUGUCGGGGCA
This is a non-coding RNA of Myotis davidii, 72 nucleotides long. NCBI's taxonomy places the organism in Eukaryota, Metazoa, Chordata, Mammalia, Chiroptera, Vespertilionidae. The record is from Rfam.